GUGCAGGAAAAAUGGGGAAAGAAUCUGUAUCUUUCUUGUCUAUGCUAUGGACGCACUGUAUCUUAAAACAAAUCGCGACCAAAUUGUUGUAACCUGUCAUUUUGAUCUUAUAUUACGAACUUCUCGUCGUCUUUGUUUCAUUGUCCAAGUGUAAAUGGAUGGUGGUAAAGUUAGAUGUGUCUUAGAAUGUUAUGCAUAGGAAAACUUUAGUUGUCUUAAAAUUAUGAAUGUUGUAGCUGCUCUGUGUAACAGCUCUCUGCUUAUGAUGUUGUUGUUAUCCUACUAGUACUGAAACAAUUGUUCUUGCUGCAAAAAUUGUUUCGUGUACUCGAAAUACUGGGGAAAAUUUUAAUGUUAUCUUUACCUAUCGAUUAUCUUGUAUUA
Molecule: long non-coding RNA, 384 nt
Filed under: Solanum tuberosum (potato)
Lineage: Eukaryota; Viridiplantae; Streptophyta; Magnoliopsida; Solanales; Solanaceae
Description: long non-coding RNA (STUB_LNC001204)
Source: RNAcentral